UCCUCCUCCUCCUCCUCCUCCUCCUCCUCUCUCUCCCGCUGCCGCUGUUCGCCUUGGCCCCGCUGGAGCGUUUCGGUGCCUUGCCGUACCCGUGUAGCGCCUCCGCUCUCUCCGAGAUGCGCUAGCGCCGUGAGGAAAGAAGGCCCCAGGCCUUGAGAGGAGAGGCGGCUGCUAGCGUUCCCGCGCUGUGUGUCGGGGGGGGGGGGCGGGUAGCGAGCCUGCGCCUCCACCCGCCUUGGAGCCCUCUGGAGAGAUGGCAGGGCAUUACACUUUUAUCUUCUACUAAACCAUCCUCAGCUUAAUAAAAAGUUGUAAUAUUGCUGUCCACUAUACCUAGAUUUGAAGAGCUGACAGGCUCCUGCAGGUCAGAGCAAACCAUUUUCUCUUCAGCUGGACUUCAGCAUAACCAAGAGACAGAAACAAAUUUUAACUUGUCAUCUUUGCUCAUCCUGCUUAGAAUCUGUAAGGCAUGCUUUUGUGUAUUGAAUUUUAUUAUAUUUUAACUCUCGUGCCUAUUGUUUCCACUGAGCAUUUGCCUCUUUCUGAUCUACUGAUAGAUGCAUUUUUCUAAUGAAAAAGCAUUUUAACUUUUCCAAAUAGCUGCAACCUCCCUUUGCAAAUAAUCUCAGCAGUUCUUUUUUCACGUUUUGAUGUACAGAUCUGUUUGAGUGCUUGUGCUUUAUAGUAACCUAUUGUUAUUCUGCCAGCAACAGCUGCUGCAGAAAGAAAGAGAAAAAGGAGUAUCCUAAUGCUUACCCAUUCAUACUAUGUGCUUCCACUUGUACAAGUUGGUAUUGUAAAGAUAAGUACAGAACCAAAAAAUGUGAGUCUGAAUCCAGGCUACAAAAAAUGGGAGAGAGAUUUAAAGAUGGUGCUGGGUGUUUUGCUUGCAUAAAAGAAAGCUUAGCCAAUUUAUAGCCAUUAAAAAGAAUGGUUUUGCUUAGUAGAGUGCAGUAAGCCGUGUUUUGUGUUUCAGCAUAUGAAGUUCAUGCAGUUUGGUUAGUAAACAAAUAUGGUGGCUUAUUCUUGUGAACGGUACUUUUGGUUAAAACAAGUUAAAUCACAAGUGGGGCAACUCUUUAAACAUUUAUGAAGCACUUGUGCAACAUGGGCAUUGGGAUAUUUACCGUAUUAAAAUGUUCAUUUAGUGGAGAAAGGGUUAUAAAAUCAGGUGAAUAAUGGUCUGAAACAAGGUAUCACAUAAAAAAUAAUUGAGAAUCAUCACAGAAAAGAAGAUUUAUUGACUAGCAAGGUUUA
Molecule: long non-coding RNA, 1257 nt
Organism: Harpia harpyja (harpy eagle)
Lineage: Eukaryota; Metazoa; Chordata; Aves; Accipitriformes; Accipitridae
Exons: 3
Source: RefSeq, a predicted model, not a curated record